RNAcentral lists this transfer RNA (66 nucleotides) under Drepanotermes sp. ANIC 0081. Its description in RNAcentral is "tRNA-His". It matches the Rfam family "tRNA". Rfam says of the family: Transfer RNA (tRNA) molecules are approximately 80 nucleotides in length. Lineage: Eukaryota; Metazoa; Arthropoda; Insecta; Blattodea; Termitidae. The record is from RNAcentral.
AUCUAAAUAGUUUAAGGUAAAAUACUGGUUUGUGGUGCCGGUGAUAUAAUGUGUUUAUUUUAGAUU